RNAcentral lists this long non-coding RNA (825 nucleotides) under Cyanistes caeruleus (blue tit). Its description in RNAcentral is "lncRNA (ENSCCEG00000018426.1)". Lineage: Eukaryota; Metazoa; Chordata; Aves; Passeriformes; Paridae. The record is from RNAcentral.
CCUCCAAUAUUUAAUUUCUUUAUUUUGUAAUCCAUAGUCUGUAGCUAUUCCUUUCCCUGUCAUAGAAAUAAAUGAGCAAUGGACUGCUUUAAGUCCAGUCAUGCUUCAGGGUGCAAAAAUCUGAGUUCAGAGUGCUCCACAGAAGACUUCUCUACACAGAAAGCUUUAGAUGCGUUGCAUGCACAGACCUCUCUGUGACUUAAGCAUAAGGAAAGAUGCUCAUACUGUGAAGUCUGGUGAGAUCACAGAUCAGUUGUGACCGGAGCUGCCUUGCAUUAGGAAGCUAUCAGGCCGGUAAGCAAGGGCAACAGGAUCCAGACUCGAAGCUCAUGUUUGUGUGUUGAAAUAGUCCAAGGACACGCUGCAAUGAUUGGCAGCCCAGCCCGCCUCUCACGUCGAGCAAGUUCCGUUUGUGGGGUGGGCACAGGUGGAGACAGAGCAGUUAGGCACUGAUGGCUUCUGUCUGCUGAAGGAUUAGUUCCUGUAGGAGGAUUCUGUCUUCUGUGUGCUCAAGGCUGAUGCUGAAAGGCACUGCCUCAUCAUUUAAUCAGACGGCCGGUCCCUGGUGGCAAACUGAAGGAAAAAUAAGCCGCAUCUGCCCGGCUUCGCCUUGCUGGGACCAGCGGGUCAAAAUCCCCCUAUGCCGUGCCGGCCCGGUGAAGGAGCUCUCGAGGAAUGAGACGCUGACGGGCCGAAGGCAGCCCAAAAGCCGCCGAACCUCUUUGCUGGGAGGAGGCGGCGGACGCGUGGGAGGCGAAACCCGGCGGAGCGCUGCUGCCCGUGCCCGGGGCCGUGCCCGCUGUCGNGUACGUCCCCCUAUGGAUA